UACGGGGGGGGCAAGCGUUGUUCGGAAUUACUGGGCGUAAAGGGCUCGUAGGUGGCCAACUAAGUCAGACGUGAAAUCCCCAGGCUCAACUUGGGAACUGCGUCUGAUACUGGAUGGCUUGAAUUCGGGAGAGGGAUGCAGAAUUCCAGGUGUAGCGGUGAAAUGCGUAGAUAUCUGGAGGAAUACCGGUGGCGAAGGCGGCAUCCUGGACCAUUACUGACACUGAUCCGCGAAAGCUAGGGGAGCAAACGGG
This 253-nucleotide ribosomal RNA is filed under the name uncultured bacterium. RNAcentral describes it as "partial 16S ribosomal RNA". It matches the Rfam family "Bacterial small subunit ribosomal RNA", at positions 524 to 776 of the family's 1533-position model. The record is from RNAcentral.